RNAcentral lists this non-coding RNA (113 nucleotides) under Jeotgalibacillus malaysiensis. Its description in RNAcentral is "SAM-I sequence". It matches the Rfam family "SAM riboswitch aptamer (S box leader)". From Rfam's summary of the family: The SAM riboswitch is found upstream of a number of genes which code for proteins involved in methionine or cysteine biosynthesis in Gram-positive bacteria. The SAM riboswitch acts at the level of transcription termination control. The record is from RNAcentral. Lineage: Bacteria; Bacillati; Bacillota; Bacilli; Caryophanales; Caryophanaceae.
CUCUUAUAAAGAGCAGGUGGAGGGACGAGCCCGAUGAAACCCGGCAACCUGUUUCAGCGAUUUACCGCUGAUUCAAGGUGCUAAUUCUCACAGCGACAGCUGAAGGAUAAGAG